This 455-nucleotide ribosomal RNA is filed under the name uncultured bacterium. Its description in RNAcentral is "bacterial SSU rRNA". It matches the Rfam family "Bacterial small subunit ribosomal RNA", at positions 329 to 803 of the family's 1533-position model. The record is from RNAcentral.
UGGCUAACUCCUACGGGAGGCAGCAGUGGGAAUAUUGGACAAUGGGCGCAAGCCUGAUCCAGCCAUGCCGCGUGAGUGAUGAAGGCCUUAGGGUUGUAAAGCUCUUUCGGCGGGGACGAUAAUGACGGUACCCGCAGAAGAAGCCCCGGCUAACUUCGUGCCAGCAGCCGCGGUAAUACGAAGGGGGCUAGCGUUGUUCGGAAUCACUGGGCGUAAAGGGCGCGUAGGCGGCUUUGUAAGUCGGGGGUGAAAGCCUGUGGCUCAACCACAGAAUUGCCUUCGAUACUGCAUGGCUUGAGACCGGAAGAGGUUAGUGGAACUGCGAGUGUAGAGGUGAAAUUCGUAGAUAUUCGCAAGAACACCAGUGGCGAAGGCGGCUGACUGGUCCGGUUCUGACGCUGAGGCGCGAAAGCGUGGGGAGCAAACAGGAUUAGAUACCCGUGUAGUCCAGCUGG